RNAcentral lists this ribosomal RNA (702 nucleotides) under Bracalba sp. OSUC 230845. Its description in RNAcentral is "partial 28S ribosomal RNA". It matches the Rfam family "Eukaryotic large subunit ribosomal RNA", at positions 430 to 901 of the family's 3401-position model. Lineage: Eukaryota; Metazoa; Arthropoda; Insecta; Hymenoptera; Scelionidae. The record is from RNAcentral.
CCGAUCGCGAUGGGUGACAUAUGUACUCGCGUAUAUGUCGAUUUCACGCGUCCGCUGUGGUAUGUUCAGCUACGUCGGCGUGCACUUCUCCUUUAGUAGAACGUCGCGACCCGCUGGGUGUCGGUUUAAGGACCAAGAUUGUUGACUGUUCCGUCGUCUUUAUGGCGUUCGGUUGCAGACGCUUGGAUCCCGACCGGCUGCUCGGCGGUACGUCACAAGGUAUCGAGCCGCACUCGAAUGCGUUCAGACUCGUCGCAAGCCCGACCAUACUAUUUUUCCGGAUGUACGGACCAAGUGCCGUCACUGGGGUUGGUUGGCUGUUGGCUGACGAUGUUCUCGAACCGGCUUAACAAUAACGAUUUACCUGUCGGCGACGCUAUUGCUUUGGGUACUUUCAGGACCCGUCUUGAAACACGGACCAAGGAGUCUAACAUGUGCGCGAGUCAUUGGGAUAUUGAAACCUAAAGGCGCAUUGAAAGAGAAGAUCGACCUUGCGUCGAUUGAGGGAGGAUGGGCAACUUCAGGGUUGCUUCGCACUCCCGGGGCGUCUCGUAGUCAUUGCGACUUGAGGCGCACCCAGAGCGUACACGUUGGGACCCGAAAGAUGGUGAACUAUGCCUGGUCAGUAUGAAGUCAGGGGAUACCAUAAUAGAGGGUUCCUUCCGAUAGUAGCUGGUUCCUUCCGAUAGUAGCUGGUCCUCC